This 431-nucleotide ribosomal RNA is filed under the name uncultured bacterium. RNAcentral describes it as "partial 16S ribosomal RNA". It matches the Rfam family "Bacterial small subunit ribosomal RNA", at positions 338 to 795 of the family's 1533-position model. The record is from RNAcentral.
CCUACGGGAGGCAGCAGUAAGGAAUAUUGGUCAAUGGAGGCAACUCUGAACCAGCCAUGCCGCGUGCAGGAAGAUGCCCUCUGGGUUGUAAACUGCUUUUAUCAGGGAAUAUGUACCUGAGGAAUAAGGAUCGGCUAACUCCGUGCCAGCAGCCGCGGUAAUACGGAGGAUCCAAGCGUUAUCCGGAUUUAUUGGGUUUAAAGGGUGCGUAGGCGGCUUAUUAAGUCAGGGGUGAAAGACGGUGGCUCAACCAUCGCAGUGCCUUUGAUACUGAUGAGCUUGAAUGUACUUGAGGUAGGCGGAAUGUGACAAGUAGCGGUGAAAUGCAUAGAUAUGUCACAGAACACCGAUUGCGAAGGCAGCUUACCAAGUUGAUUGACGCUGAGGCACGAAAGCGUGGGGAUCAAACAGGAUUAGAUACCCUUGUAGUC